This 1050-nucleotide long non-coding RNA is filed under the name Callithrix jacchus (white-tufted-ear marmoset). Its description in RNAcentral is "lncRNA (ENSCJAG00000078463.1)". The record is from RNAcentral. Lineage: Eukaryota; Metazoa; Chordata; Mammalia; Primates; Cebidae.
AACAUUUUAAAUAUGAUCAGGGGAUGUGUGUGUGUGUGUGUGUGUGUGUGUGUGUGUGUGUGUGUGUGUGUGUUUUCAGAGAGAGACAUCAGCAUUCUGUGGUACCAUUUCAUAAUGUAGAGUGUGUAAAAGGGAAGGAAUUUGGAGGAAUCAGGCUCCUUCCAGUUGGACAUCAACUUGACCGUUGUUUUCAGCUCACUUUUGUCUGGCAGAGUUUCUGUUUGCUUUUAAAUGUCAGAAAAGGUUAAGAAACCUUUGAAAUCUGCAACAGAUUUUCUAGACUUAUGAAGUGGAUGUCCACCCUAUAAUAACAUAAAUUAAUCACCUCUCCUCACUUUUGAAAUUGCCUUUUAAAGGAAACAUAUCUGAAGAAUCUAAUUCAAGACAAAAGAAUUCAAAUAAAUGCUCAUUUGUGGGUCUGAGUAUUUGACUUCAGAGUAAGAGGACCUAGUAACAUCCAAAGUUAUAUUUCUCAAUCCAAGUUAUAUUUCUCUCUGUCUUUAUCAUCGGUCCUAACUCACAUUUUCCCAAAUCAUGUAGAUUCAAGAGAAAAUAUUGUGGCUCAGAGAGCAUUAAUAUAUCCUUCCCUUACCCCUAUCUCAAAAGCAUCUGCAGUAGUGAGGGACUUAAGGCCCCUAAGUGACUAGUGAACCUCCUCUAUGUCUAGAAGGUAUUUUGUUUACUAUCACUGGUGUCUAGUACAAAUGCAUGGGGUGACUGAGCAGCCACGAGCUCUCCAAGUCUCAGUAGACUUUCCUGUACAUUAUGUGCCAGCCUGCAGACCACCACCAGGGUGUACAGAAAAUAUACAUCUCUGAGAUCAGGUGUUAAUAACUAACUUUAUAGUUUGAGAUGCUAUUCUGACAUACAUAAGCUCAAUACUUCCAAGAAUCCAUCACCUUCGAAAGGCAGAGGCUAAGUCUGGGUGCUCACAGAGGAUAAAAGCCUGUGAGAUCUCAGGCCACCUGUUCACCCGAGUGCCCACAGAGACACACUUUGAGCAUCUGCUUAUCAGUAGCCAUCAGUCCAAGUAGAUUGCUGCUGAAUUGU